RNAcentral lists this ribosomal RNA (462 nucleotides) under uncultured bacterium. RNAcentral's name for it is "partial 16S ribosomal RNA". It matches the Rfam family "Bacterial small subunit ribosomal RNA", at positions 28 to 507 of the family's 1533-position model. The record is from RNAcentral.
GACGAACGCUGGCGGCGUGCUUAACACAUGCAAGUCGAACGGAAAGGCCCUUCGGGGUACUCGAGUGGCGAACGGGUGAGUAACACGUGGGUGAUCUGCCCUGCACUUUGGGAUAAGCCUGGGAAACUGGGUCUAAUACCGAAUAGGACCACGCGCUUCAUGGUGUGUGGUGGAAAGCUUUUGCGGUGUGGGAUGGGCCCGCGGCCUAUCAGCUUGUUGGUGGGGUAAUGGCCUACCAAGGCGACGACGGGUAGCCGGCCUGAGAGGGUGACCGGCCACACUGGGACUGAGAUACGGCCCAGACUCCUACGGGAGGCAGCAGUGGGGAAUAUUGCACAAUGGGCGCAAGCCUGAUGCAGCGACGCCGCGCGAGGGAUGACGGCCUUCGGGUUGUAAACCUCUUUCAAUAGGGACGAAGCGCAAGUGACGGUACCUAUAGAAGAAGCACCGGCCAACUACGUG